UACAGAGGUCCCAAGCGUUGUUCGGAUUCACUGGGCGUAAAGGGUGCGUAGGCGGUCGGGUAAGUCUGUUGUGAAAUCUCCGAGCUUAACUCGGAAACUGCCGUUGAUACUAUUUGUCUUGAAUAUUGUGGAGGUAAGCGGAAUAUGUCAUGUAGCGGUGAAAUGCUUAGAUAUGACAUAGAACACCAAUUGCGAAGGCAGCUUACUACACAACGAUUGACGCUGAGGCACGAAAGCGUGGGGAUCAAACAGG
RNAcentral lists this ribosomal RNA (253 nucleotides) under uncultured bacterium. RNAcentral's name for it is "partial 16S ribosomal RNA". It matches the Rfam family "Bacterial small subunit ribosomal RNA", at positions 524 to 776 of the family's 1533-position model. The record is from RNAcentral.